Molecule: ribosomal RNA, 427 nt
Filed under: uncultured bacterium
Lineage: Bacteria
Description: partial 16S ribosomal RNA
Rfam family: Bacterial small subunit ribosomal RNA
Source: RNAcentral
UGGGGAAUAUUGCACAAUGGGCGCAAGCCUGAUGCAGCCAUGCCGCGUGUAUGAAGAAGGCCUUCGGGUUGUAAAGUACUUUCAGCGGGGAGGAAGGUGUUGCGGUUAAUAACCACAGCAAUUGACGUUACCCGCAGAAGAAGCACCGGCUAACUCCGUGCCAGCAGCCGCGGUAAUACGGAGGGUGCAAGCGUUAAUCGGAAUUACUGGGCGUAAAGCGCACGCAGGCGGUCUGUCAAGUCGGAUGUGAAAUCCCCGGGCUCAACCUGGGAACUGCAUCCGAAACUGGCAGGCUUGAGUCUUGUAGAGGGGGGUAGAAUUCCAGGUGUAGCGGUGAAAUGCGUAGAGAUCUGGAGGAAUACCGGUGGCGAAGGCGGCCCCCUGGACAAAGACUGACGCUCAGGUGCGAAAGCGUGGGGAGCAAACA